Humulus lupulus (European hop) is the source of this 2129-nucleotide long non-coding RNA. RefSeq lists it as uncharacterized. NCBI's taxonomy places the organism in Eukaryota, Viridiplantae, Streptophyta, Magnoliopsida, Rosales, Cannabaceae. The transcript has 6 exons. The record is from RefSeq and is a predicted model, not a curated record.
CCCAAUUUUUUAGUGUCUCUUCCCAUAAUACCCUUUUUCUCACUGAAACUCAUCACCCAUCAUCUUCCCCAACAGGACAAAUACGCAUCUUCUUCACCCAUCUAUGGCGGAUCUCCGUCAAGCUGUCGUCCGACUUCGAGACCACAUGCGCCACAAACUGAUGGUCUCUCACCGACGCAAGCGAGGCUCAGAAAUUUCAAGAUCUAAGAAGUUAUAAUGAAAUCCUCACUCACAAAUGGCAACCGCAGCCGCAGCCCCCUCCAUCUUCAUCUCCUCCGAGUCCUAACCAUGAGCAACUCCAAGAGCUGAGAGAUCUCCCAGCUAUGGCUGGACCUCCAUCUCGUUGCCAACCUCCGCUGUGGACUCUGCUACUUCUCCAAGUUCCACUCAACCUGUUACUUCAAGUCCACUGAUGGCCACAACAACAACUGGUCAUUCGACUAUUCUCACCUUAAUCUCCCUGUACUCGCUCACCUUGCUGCAAAACGUGACAUUUCUAGAUGACCAUACGACCUAGGUCAUCAUUGCCUCCUCCGAUCAGUCGUCGGGCUUCUCCGAUCAGUGUUGUACGCCUCUGAUUAUCCUCUCCACAAUCAUCCAUCUCAUCUCAGGCUUUGGCUUCGGGGAUUUUCCAAAUCAACACCGCCGUCUCUUCCUUCUUCCGCCUCGUCAAUUCCCUUGGCACCCCCAAAGAUAUUCUUCAACUUCGAGAAAAACUACACAAAACGAGGAACCAUAUCACACAAUUGGUGAAGGAGACUUCAUCCAAACUCAGUCAAGCCAGUGAGGCCGAUCACCAACAUAAUAAUCAAAUUACAGUGUUUAUGUGUUGAGACGAACUUCAAAGAAACUUUUGUGGCAAUAGUUUGCAAGAGAAGAAAGGUUUCAAAAAGGAAGAUAUAUAGGCUUUUAUUACCAACUUUGGACAUCAUGUUUGAUAAAAGUUGGUUACAGUUCAACAUGUAAUAAGAAUCGAGGACUUAGUUAAUAUUAAGUUAAUAAAUUCAUAGAUAGAUAGGUUAUACCUUUCUCUAAUAAUUUUGAGUAUAUAUUUUUCAUUUAAUUGUAGAGCUUCAGAUGAGUAUAAGUAAGACGCUAAGAGUUUUGUAGAGACAAUAGAGAAAGGCUAAUUAUCCAAAAAAAUUAUUGUGUCCCUGCAAAGUGUGUCGAAACUUAAGUCACCAAGAUGUCAGCAUUCUUUAUGAGCAUUUGAUCAUAAAUGGGAUUGAUCCAACUUACAAAAUAUGUUUUCAUCAUGGGGAAGAAGUAUCUAGAAGUGAUGAUAUUGACGAAAUGAAUUAUUUUGAUGCUUAUAAUGUGUUUAGUGCUACAAAUCUUGAUGACUAUGAUUUUGACGAACAUGUAGAAGGCCCUGAUGACAAUUUCACCAAAAAAAUUAGAAGAUGCAGAAAUUCCAUUAUAUCCACAGUGCACAAAAUACACUAAGUUAUUUGCAAUUGUUGCUUUGUAUAAGCUUAAAACUUCUAAUGGAUUGUCGGACAAAUGUUUUGAUGAAAUGCUAGGGCUUUUCCAUGAUAUGCUACCUUUUGAUAAUGUGCUCCUCAAGUCUAUGUACUCAGUGAGAAAAUUUCUUCGAGCAUUCAAGUUAGGAUAUGAAAGGAUUCAUGCAUGUGUAAAUGAUUAUUGUCUAUUUAGAAAAGAUAAAGAGACGUUGGAAAAUUGUCCAACAUGUGGAACUUCUCGUUGGAUGUCAAACAAGCUUACUACUCUACUAUUUGUUUUUUAUAUAUGUCUAAGUAAUUUAAUUAUGUUUAUUUUGGGUUCUAAUGCAGUUGGUUGUGAUGCCAUACAUCUUCAUAUAGUUAGGCUCUUGAGACACAGAUAGAUGGAAACAAAUGGAAGGUCAUGGCACACAUUUUAGGCUCGGCAAUAGGCUUUCAAAUCUAGUGCAAAUAAUAAAGCAUCAAAAUAUCUUUAGAUUUCGUUGUUCACUUUUAAAGUGAAACAUGAAAGUUUUUUCAAAUUUUAGCUAAACCUUUUAGCUAGAAGUUUAUUAUGAUGACUUUGAUUCUCUAAACUUUACUUUUUGAAAGAUGGUUCACUUAAGUGAAAUAUGUAUUUGGACCGAGUUACCUAAUAUGAUGAUAUUGAUAUUUUUUAAGAUCUAA